UCUGGCGAGGACGGCGCCGCCGACGCGCUCAUCGACGCCGCCUGGGCCAUGCAGAAUGUCUACAGCGACCUCUUCCUGCUCGAGAACCAGCUCCCCUUCUUCGUCCUCGAGCGCUUCUACGCCAUCGCCACCGGCGGCCGAGGCCGCGACCACCUCGUCACCAGCCUCCUCGCCAAGUACCUCACCGUCGAGACACCGCAGGACGCCGCCACGGCGAAGCCCCCCGACGGCGAGAUCCUCCACCUGCUGCACCUCUACUACCACUGGUUCCUCCCACCACAAGACGAGGACGCCGCCGUCCCUCCCGCUGGCGGCAACAACAAGGUCACCGAGGAGGAGGAGGCGUUCAACGAGUGGCUGGCCAAGCCCAUGGACGAGCGCUUGCCGUGGCUGCUCCCCUCGGCGUCGGAGCUGGAGGACGCCGGCGUCACGUUCCGGGCCAAGAAGUCCCCCCGGAGCCUCGUCGACGUGACGUUCCGCGCCCGCGACGGCGUGCUCGAGAUCCCGGCCGUGGAGAGCUACACGAACCGCGCCAUGUUCGCCAACCUCCUCGCGUACGAGCAGAGCCGGGGCCGGUGGGAGCUGCAGCGCCUGAUGAGCUACGUGGUGCUCAUGGCGUCGGUGGCAUCGCACGGGCGGCGCGACGUGGACAUCCUGCAGCGGGCCGGGGUGUUCGUCAAGGGGGACGAGGAGACGGCGGCGUUCUACGCGCACCUUGGUGAGCUCUGCGGCGGUGCCGCCGCGGGCACGCCGGGCGUCGCCAACAACUGCUACGCCGACAUGUUCCGCGACGUGAGGGAGUACUGCGGCCGCAGCUGGAACAGGCACCGCGCCGUGCUCGCUCACGACUACUUCAGCAACCCGUGGACGAGCAUGUCCGCCGCCGCCGCCGUGCUCCUGCUCGUCCUCACCGUCGUGCAGACCGUGUACACCGUGCUGCCGUAUUACCACCCUUAA
This 957-nucleotide ribosomal RNA is filed under the name Triticum aestivum (bread wheat). RNAcentral's name for it is "partial small subunit ribosomal RNA". Lineage: Eukaryota; Viridiplantae; Streptophyta; Magnoliopsida; Poales; Poaceae. The record is from RNAcentral.